CACGUAGUUAGCCGGGGCUUCUUAGUCAGGUACCGUCAUUUUCUUCCCUGCUGAUAGAAGUUUACAUACCGAAAUACUUCUUCCUUCACGCGGCGUCGCUGCAUCAGGGUUUCCCCCAUUGUGCAAUAUUCCCCACUGCUGCCUCCCGUAGGAGUUUGGGCCGUGUCUCAGUCCCAAUGUGGCCGUUCACCCUCUCAGUCCGGCUACUGAUCGUCGCCUUGGUGGGCCGUUACCUCACCAACCAGCUAAUCAGACGCGGGUCCAUCUCAUACCACCGGAGUUUUUCACACUGUUCCAUGCGAAACCGUGCGCUUAUGCGGUAUUAGCAGUCAUUCUAACUGUUAUCCCCCUGUAUGAGGCAGGUUACCCACGCGUUACUCACCCGUCCGCCACUCAGUCAAAGAAAGCUUCAAACCGAAGUAAUCCGACUUUCAGUGCUUCGUUCGACUUGCAUGUGUUAGCACGCCGCCAGCGUUCAUCCUGAGCCAGGAUCAAACUCU
This 500-nucleotide ribosomal RNA is filed under the name uncultured Eubacteriales bacterium. RNAcentral describes it as "uncultured Clostridiales bacterium partial 16S ribosomal RNA". The record is from RNAcentral. Lineage: Bacteria; Bacillati; Bacillota; Clostridia; Eubacteriales.